GUGAGCCAAGAUCCUGCCACUGCACUUUAGCCUGAGCGACAAGACCCAGACUUCGUCUCAAAAAAAAAAAAAAAGAAAAAAAAGAAAAAGAAAAAAGAAAAACAGAAAGCAGGGAAGGGGGAAACAGAGGGGUGUGCAGUUUUACAUUAAAAUAGUAAGGGAAGACCUCACUGAAAAGGUGACAUUUGAGUAGGGAGGUACGAUACUAAAUAAUAUGGACAUGAGGGUAUAAGGUGGGAAUGUUCGAUACUAAGUGAACAGAAAAAACAAAAGUCCUGAAGUUAGAGUGUGCCUGGUGAGUUUAGGGAGUAGCAAGAAAGCUUCUGUGGCUGCAAAAAAAGUAGUUAAAAUCGAGAUCAGCGGAUGAGUUCAAAGAGAUUAUGGUGGGUGAUGUUGGGGAGGGGCAAAAUGGGAUUCACCAGAGGUUUUAUAGGCAUUGUAAGGACUUUGGUUUUUAUUCAGAGUGAGAUGGGGAUCCAUUUCAGCAGAAAGGGAGUAGUUUGGCUCUUGUUGCCCAGGCUAGAGUGCAGUGGCAUGAUCUCAGCUCACUGCAACCUCCAUCCCCCAGGUUCAAGUGAUUCCCCUGUCUCAGCCUCUGGAGUAGCUGGGAUUACAGGCACGUGCCACUACGUCCAGCUAAUUUUUGUAUUUUUGAUAGAGACAGGGUUUCAUCAUAUUGGUCAGGCUUAUCUCGAAUUCCUGAUAUCAGGUAUCCGCGCACCUCAGCCUCCCAAAGUUCUGGGAUUACUGGCGUGAGCCACCGCACCUGGCACUCGCUUGUUUUUAAAAGGUUAUUCUGGUUGCUGCUGAAAUGGGGAUACCAAUUAGAUGACUGUUGUAAUCCAAUGUAAAAUAUUGAUGGCUUAGACCAGGUUAUCGCCAGUGGAAGUAAUAAGUAAUUUAAUUCUAGAUCUAUUUUGAAAGUGGGUCCAGCCAGAUUUCUGUAUGGAUUAAAUGUGGGGUGAGAGAGGAGGAGAAUAAUCAAGAAUGACUUUUUUUUUUUUUUGCUUGA
This is a long non-coding RNA of Sapajus apella (tufted capuchin), 1012 nucleotides long. RefSeq lists it as uncharacterized. The transcript has 2 exons. NCBI's taxonomy places the organism in Eukaryota, Metazoa, Chordata, Mammalia, Primates, Cebidae. The record is from RefSeq and is a predicted model, not a curated record.